This 70-nucleotide transfer RNA is filed under the name Camelus ferus (Wild Bactrian camel). It matches the Rfam family "tRNA". From Rfam's summary of the family: Transfer RNA (tRNA) molecules are approximately 80 nucleotides in length. The record is from Rfam by way of RNAcentral. Lineage: Eukaryota; Metazoa; Chordata; Mammalia; Artiodactyla; Camelidae.
GGAUAUAGCACAGUGGUAGAGCACGUGCUUAGCAUGCACAAGGUUGUGGGUUCAAUCCCCAGUACCUCCA